Molecule: transfer RNA, 43 nt
Filed under: Tachysurus nitidus
Lineage: Eukaryota; Metazoa; Chordata; Actinopteri; Siluriformes; Bagridae
Description: partial tRNA-Ser
Source: RNAcentral
GAAAGAGGCCAGAAGCAAUAAGGACUGCUAAUCCUUAUCACCA